GCCCGCCAGUCGUACAUAGACUGGAGCGCUGCUAGCAACAGGCAAGAUACGAAGGCAUCGUAGACCUCUACACAAACGACGCUACCAUCUUCCAAAUAACAGAGCACCCAUCCAGGGCAGAGCAGGGUUGCUUAAAUUUUACAACGACAUUUUGAGUGCAGGCAGAUGGCCAUUAAAUGCAAAUCUCGUCUUUAAUAAAGUUCUCGAGAACUGCGCUACCAAACUAGUGGUCACCAGUUAUUAUGGGCGGACAGUGGCAUUUGAUGGAACCGUCGGUUUUACUGUAGGUAUUCGUGUGUUCAGACGUGUUCGUGGGGUUCUGAAGAUUAGCCAGGCUAUCUGGAAACCAAUUCCUGAGUCCGAAAUACCUUCCUCUAUCGACUUUAACCAGGCCCCUGUCGCACCGAGUCCAGGACACGGGUAUUACAACGGCUACUAUUAUUCAUAGUAUCGUUAGACUCUUCUACUCAUCCUACAGAACGAGAUCGCUACUCUCCACAUAGUAAUCAGGUUUUAUUAGUCAUCUUAUACAACGCGUUUACAGUUCUCGUCAUAGUGAGUAGGCUAUCAUUGUAAAGAAACUCGCAGAAAAGAACAAUCUCACCGCCCCAAUUAUUGGUUAUCCCUCGGGAGAUGCAGAAUACCCUACAUGCAGAAUUUCACUAACCACAAUUUCUUUGUAAAGAAAUGUUUUGUUCAUUGUAAGUCUGUACAAACAG
Molecule: long non-coding RNA, 719 nt
Organism: Liolophura sinensis
Lineage: Eukaryota; Metazoa; Mollusca; Polyplacophora; Chitonida; Chitonidae
Exons: 3
Source: RefSeq, a predicted model, not a curated record